This is a non-coding RNA of Cinara cedri, 356 nucleotides long. The record is from the annotation of a GenBank genome assembly. NCBI's taxonomy places the organism in Eukaryota, Metazoa, Arthropoda, Insecta, Hemiptera, Aphididae.
UUUUUUACAAAAAUGGAAAUAGUCUGCUUAAUUUUCAGCAUAUUUACAAAACAAUAACAGAACACGAUCACUCAAAAUUCACGGAGUAACUUAAGAACAGAUUAUAACUGUUAAACAGUCGCAUUUCACAAAUUAUUUUUGUAUUGUAUUGAAUACUUAUUAACUUGGAAUUAUCAAAAUAAAAAUACCAUUAUUAGAUUUUAUUGGCUGGCAAUAUUACAGUAUAAUCUUAACUAUACGAUUGUCGAGUGUUGACUAUAGCUAAAAUAGUUGUGUAAAUGAGUAAAUUCAACAAAAUGGCAAUAAAAUUGGAAAAAUUGGAAAACAUUGUAUUUAAAACUUCUAGAUUUGUAUUC